UUUGUAGUUGCUUAGAGCAUUCGGUGGAUGCCUUGGCACCAGGAGCCGAUGAAGGACGUUGUGGCCUGCGAUAUGCCUCGGGGAGUUGGCGAACGAGCUUUGAUCCGAGGGUGUCCGAAUGGGGGAACCCAGCAAGAGUUGUGUCUUGUUACCAGCAUUUGAAUAUAUAGGGUGUUGGGGGAACGAGGGGAAGUGAAACAUCUUAGUACCCUUAGGAAGAGAUAUUGCGUGAGUAGUGGCGAGCGAAAGCGUAGGAGGCUAAACCAUGCGCGUGUGAUAGACGGCAGUUGUUGCGUGUGUGGGGUUGUGGGGCGUGUUUUUUCAGUGUGCUGCCGCAUGCUGGGUGAGUUAUAAAUGGUUGUUAUAGUUGAACACUUUGGGAAGAGUGACCGUAGAGCGUGAUAGUCGUGUAGGUGUAAUUUCAGCCACUUGCUUGAUGCGUUCCCGAGUAGCACGGGGCCCGUGGAAUCUCGUGUGAAUCUGCCAAGACCACUUGGUAAGCCUAAAUACUACCUGGUGACCGAUAGUGUAUUAGUACCGUGAGGGAAUGGUGAAAAGUACCCCGGGAGGGGAGUGAAAUAGUACCUGAAACCGGAUGCUUACAAUCCGUCGGAGCCUUGAGGGGUGACGGCGUGCCUUUUGAAGAAUGAGCCUGCGAGUUAGUGGUAUGUGGCGAGGUUAACCCGUGUGGGGUAGCCGUAGCGAAAGCGAGUAUGAAUAGUGCGUUUUAGUCGCAUGCUCUAGACCCGAAGCGGGGUGAUCUACCCAUGGCCAGGUUGAAGCACGUGUAAGAGCGUGUGGAGGACCGAACCCACUUCAGUUGAAAAUGGAGGGGAUGAGCUGUGGGUAGGGGUGAAAGGCCAAUCAAACUCCGUGAUAGCUGGUUCUCCCCGAAAUGCAUUUAGGUGCAGCGUUACGUGUUUCUUGCCGGAGGUAGAGCUACUGGAUGGCCGAUGGGCCCUACCGGGUUACUGACGUUAGCCAAACUCCGAAUGCCGGUAUAGUUAGAGCGUAGCAGUGAGACUGCGGGGGAUAAGCUUCGUAGUCGAGAGGGAAACAGCCCAGAUCAUCAGCUAAGGCCCCUAAGCGUGUGCUAAGUGGGAAAGGAUGUGGAGUUGCAUAGACAACCAGGAGGUUGGCUUAGAAGCAGCCAUCCUUGAAAGAGUGCGUAAUAGCUCACUGGUCAAGUGAUUCCGCGCCGAUAAUGUAGCGGGGCUUAAGUACACCGCCGAAGCUGUGGCAUUCACACUUUUUUUGCUAAGCCGCCCUUUGAUGGUUGGUUCAGGUGUGUGGAUGGGUAGGGGAGCGUCGUGUGUGGGGUGAAGUCUCGGAGUGAUCUAGGGGUGGACUGUACACGAGUGAGAAUGCAGGCAUGAGUAGCGAAUGGAGAGUGAGAAACUCUCCCGCCGUAUGACCAAGGGUUCCAGGGCUAGGCUAAUCCGCCCUGGGAUAGUCGGGACCUAAGGCGAGGCCGACAGGCGUAGUCGAUGGACAACCAGUUGAUAUUCUGGUACCGGCGAAACACCGUAAGGAACUGAACUUUAUUGUUUUCGUGAACGCUGGUGGCUUUUCUUUUUUCUUUCGGGGAAAGGGUUGGUUGCUGGUUUUUGUGUUAAUGUUUUUAGUAGGUUAGCGUGUUAACAGGGGUGACGCAGAAAGGUAGCCUCCGCGUGCUGAUGGUUAUGCACGUCUAAGGAUGUGGCCCGUUUCCUAGGUAAAUCCGGGGAACAUGUGGGUGAGGUCUGAUGGUGACACAUUUUUUGUGGAAGUGGGUGAUCCUAUGCUGCCUAGAAAAGCCUCGACGUUAGGUGUUAGCCGCCCGUACCCUAAACCGACACAGGUGGUUGAGUAGAGUAUACUAAGGCGAUCGAGAUAAUCAUGGUUAAGGAACUCGGCAAAAUGCCCCCGUAACUUUGGGAGAAGGGGGGCCUACCUGGUGAAGCCAAUUUUUUCUGGUGGAGCUGGUGUGGGUCGCAGAGACCAGGGGGAAGCGACUGUUUACUAAAAACACAGGUGCGUGCGAAGUCGUAAGACGAUGUAUACGCACUGACGCCUGCCCGGUGCUGGAAGGUUAAGAGGAACGGUCAAACAUUUUUUUGUUGAAGCUGUGAAUUUAAGCCCCAGUAAACGGCGGUGGUAACUAUAACCAUCCUAAGGUAGCGAAAUUCCUUGUCGGGUAAGUUCCGACCUGCACGAAUGGCGUAACGACUUCCCUACUGUCUCGACCAUGAACUCGGCGAAAUUGCAUUACGAGUAAAGAUGCUCGUUACGCGCAGCAGGACGGAAAGACCCCGGGACCUUUACUAUAGCUUGGUAUUGGUGAUCGCUUGUGCUUGUGUAGGAUAGGUGGGAGACUGUGAAGAUGGAACGCUAGUUUUGUUGGAGUCGUUGUUGAAAUACCACUCUGGUUCAAGUGAUUGUCUAACCUCGGUCCGUGAUCCGGACUAGGGACAGUGCCUGGUGGGUAGUUUAACUGGGGCGGUUGCCUCCUAAAAGGUAACGGAGGCGCUCAAAGGUUCCCUCAGCCUGGUUGGCAAUCAGGUGUCGAGUGUAAGUGUAGAAGGGAGCUUGACUGUGAGAGUGACAGCUCGAGCAGGUGCGAAAGCAGGAACUAGUGAUCCGGCCGUGGUUCGUGGAAACGCGGUCGCUCAACGGAUAAAAGGUACCCCGGGGAUAACAGGCUGAUCUUGCCCAAGAGUCCAUAUCGACGGCAUGGUUUGGCACCUCGAUGUCGGCUCGUCGCAUCCUGGGGCUGGAGUAGGUCCCAAGGGUUGGGCUGUUCGCCCAUUAAAGCGGUACGCGAGCUGGGUUUAGAACGUCGUGAGACAGUUCGGUCCCUAUCCGCUGUGCGCGUUGGAAACUUGAGAAGGCCUGUCCCUAGUACGAGAGGACCGGGACGGACGAACCUCUGGUGUGCCAGUUGUACCGCCAGGUGCAUGGCUGGUUGGCUACGUUCGGGAGGGAUAACCGCUGAAAGCAUCUAAGCGGGAAGCCUGCUUCAAGAUUAGGUUUCGUUUGAGGUCCCCACUAGACUAGUGGGUUGAUAGGCUGGAUGUGGAAGAGCAGUAAUGUUUUUUAGAGCUGACCAGUACUAAUUGACCGAUAACUACAAAAA
RNAcentral lists this ribosomal RNA (3115 nucleotides) under Tongtianella jiaweipingae. RNAcentral's name for it is "Actinomyces sp. zg-332 23S ribosomal RNA". It matches the Rfam family "Bacterial large subunit ribosomal RNA". Lineage: Bacteria; Bacillati; Actinomycetota; Actinomycetes; Actinomycetales; Actinomycetaceae. The record is from RNAcentral.